RNAcentral lists this ribosomal RNA (492 nucleotides) under uncultured bacterium. RNAcentral's name for it is "bacterial SSU rRNA". It matches the Rfam family "Bacterial small subunit ribosomal RNA", at positions 8 to 509 of the family's 1533-position model. The record is from RNAcentral.
AGAGUUUGAGUCCUGGCUCAGGAACGAACGGACUGGCGGCAUGGAUUAGGCAUGCAAGUCGAACGGAGUUAUUGAGAGCUUGCUUUUAAUAACUUAGUGGCGGACGGGUGAGUAACACGUGAGCAACCUGCCUUCAAGAGCGGAAUAGCUUCUGGAAACGGAUGGUAAUACCGCAUAACAUUACCGGACCGCAUGAUCUGGUAAUCAAAGAUUUAUCGCUUGAAGAUGGGCUCGCGUCUGAUUAGAUAGUUGGUGGGGUAACGGCCUACCAAGUCGACGAUCAGUAGCCGGACUGAGAGGUUGAACGGCCACAUUGGGACUGAGACACGGCCCAGACUCCUACGGGAGGCAGCAGUGGGGAAUAUUGCACAAUGGGCGCAAGCCUGAUGCAGCGAUGCCGCGUGGAGGAAGAAGGUUUUCGGAUUGUAAACUCCUUAUCUGAGGGACGAUAAUGACGGUACCUCAGGAGAAAGCUCCGGCUAACUACGUGCC